AACUGCCAGACUGUUUUCCAAAGUGUCUGUGCUACUUUACAUUCCUACCGGGAAAGUCCGAGAGUUCCAGUUUCCCCAUAUCCUCCCCAACAUUUGGUGUCAGCUCUUCUUUUCUAUUUGGAUUCUCCUAGUGAGUGUGAAGAGCUCUGUCAAUGUUGUUUUGAGUUGCAUUUCCCUGAUAAUUAAUGAUACUGAGCAUGUUUUUAUGUGAUUAUUGCCCAUUUACAUAUCUUCUUUGGAGAAAUGUCUGUUCUGGUCCUUUGUCCUUUUAAAGAUUAGGUUACUUGCCUUUUAUUAUUGAACUUUAAAUAUUCUUUAUAUAUUCUUUGACCCAAGUCCUUAAUCAGACAAAUGAUUUUGUAGAUAUUUUCUCCUAUUCUAUGGGUUGUUUUUUCACUUUCUACUUCUUUAUUUAUUUAUUUAUUUAUUUUUUUUCCGCAGGGUACAGAGGCUUGAUGUGGGAUCUCAGCUCCCAGACCAGGGCUUGAACCCCAGCCACAGCAGUGAAAGCCCUGCGUCUUAACUACUAGACCACCCCGGGAACGGCUUCUUCUCGCUUUCUUGAUGGUAUUGUUUGUAACCCCAGAGUUUUUAACUUUAUGGAGUCCAAUUUAUCCAUCUUUCUGUUUUGUUCCUUGUGCUUUUGGUACCAUAUGUCAGAAACACUGCCUAAUACAAGCCCAUGAAAAGUUAUUCCUAUGAUUUCUUCUAAGAGUUUCAUAGUUUCAGUUCUUACACUUAAUUCUAUAAUCCAUUUCAAGUUAAAUUUUUUUUUUUUUAAGGCAUGAGGCAAGGGACAAGCUCUGUUUAUUUGCAUGUGGCUAUCCAGCUGUCCCAGCACCAUUUGUUGAAAAGACUAUUUAUCCUCUACUGAAUUAUCUUUUUGACUCUUGUCCAAAACCAAUCAACCAUGCCAGGCCUUCUUAAUGCCUAGGCUCAGAAGUUCCAGAACUGCCCUGAAUUAUAUUUCUUUAAAAGCAUGAGAUUAAAGACAAAUGUAGCUUCAAAUCCUAACUCUGCACACCUGUUUGAUGAGAUUCUACUUCCUCAAGUGUAAACUCGGGAUAAUGACAGUGUUUACUGAGGAGCUCUUGUGCUGCUUACAUGUGAUAAUACAUCAGAUGCUUCAAUCACAGUACGGAGUAUUUAAACACUGAAUGUAUUUUAGCCAUAAUGAUGAUAUGAUGAUGACAGUGAUUCUGACAAUAAAAGUUUUCUAGAUGGAGCCAUUACUUGGUAAGAUCAAAGCACUUCCCCUUUUUUUUUUUUUUUUUUUUUUUUUUUUGGCUGCUUCCACAGCAUGUGGAAACUUCCAGGCCAGGAGGGAAACCACACCUCUUCAGUGACCAAGCUGCUACAGAGACAAUACUGGAUCCACAGCAGGAACUCCUCAAACCCCUUUCUUUGUGGUAAAAUGAAUUAAGAUUCUGUGGGUAUUCAUUCCAUCUUAAAGAGAAAUGAGAAAUGGGGGGACGAUGUCCUGAAACUCUUUUAUAGAAUUCAUCUUUAAUCAAAACAGUCCUCUGUGGGCCUAUAAUCACGACAUAAAGGAGUUCCCUGAUGGCUUGGCAGGUUAAAGAUCCAGCAUGGUCACAGCUGUAGCUCUGGUUGCACAGGUUUGAUCCCUGGCCUAGGAUCUUCCACAUGCCAUUGAUGCAGUCAAAAAAAAAAAAAACCCAAAGCCAAAACCAAAAUAUUAACAACAGUAAGAGUUCUGGUCAUGACUCAGCGAUUAAUGAACCUGACUAGCAUCCAUGAGGACUCUGGUUCAAUCCCUGGCCUCACUCAGUGGGUUAAGGAUCCAGCGCUGCCCUGAGCUGCAGUGUAGGUUGCAGAUGUGGCUCGGAUCCCACGUUGCUGUGUCUGUGGCUUAGGCCAGCAGCUACAGCUCCAACUGGACCCCUAGCCUGGGAACCUGCAUAUGCUCCAAGUGUGGCCCUAAAAAAAAAAAAGACAAAAAAAGCAAAAUAUUAACAACAAUAACAACAAAGACAUAAAGCCACACACCCUAUAAGGUAUGAGGCAUUAACGAUACUCACCUCCUUAAAGUUCACACCGGGUUUUGCUUGUGCACAUAACUGAGUUCAACCUUUCCUGGAUAUGCAUCUGAGUCACAGUUCCCAGACUCACUGUAACCCAGGGGGAAGGCAGCAUCACAAUAGUAGGAACUGCUACAUUUAGGGGCCAGCACAGGAAUAGAAAGAAGCUGAUAGCAAUCGCCUUGUGCGUUGGGGGAAAAAGAAAAUUCAAAAGAAUUGAGAAGGCCCUAUGGAACGUGGGAACAUAUGUGAAUAGAGCACAUGAACGCAAGCUAGGGAGGGAGCCCAGAUGACCAAUGGGCUGUUAGGCCCAAAAGGUGCUUCAGAAUUUGAGAGAGCUUUUUUUAAAAAAAAAAAAAAAAAUCAUGUGGUAAUAUAAUGAUAAAUGAUUUUGAAAAGUAAAACAUAAACUAUAUAUAGGAAAGCCGUUAAAAAUUAAAAACCUAUUCAUCCAAAUAUUAAUGGAGUUCUCUUGGGGCUCAAGCAGGUUAAGGAUCCAGCAUUGUCACUUCAGCAGCUCAGGUUGCUGUUAUGGCACAACCUCAAUCCCUGGCCCAGGAAUUUUCACAGGUCUUGGGCACAGCCAAAACAAACAAAUAAACAAACAAACAAAAUCCCACAAACAAAUAUUAAAAGAGUUGCUUCCCGCUGAAUGAUUUCUUUUUUCUUUUUAACAGAAUUCUCUAUUACUCAAAUUAUUCCCCAGAGAGAACAUACUAUGUUUGUAUGUGGGGGAAAAUAUUAGCCAUCGAGACGUUAUAUUAAGGUUAAGUUUAUAUUUAACCAGAUGAAUUAUUCCUGACAAAAUACUUAUUUUAAUACCCAACAUAAUAAAGUUGCUGCCAACAUAUAAACUAUAUAUUUAGAAACGUGCUUCCAAUAUACCGUUUCAAUGUAUAACACUGACCUGUGUGAUUAGCAGGCAACUAUGACUUGUGCAGAAAUUCUUCUGUGAGCACUGAUAUUUUUGAGUACUACAUUAUUAUCUCUAGAAGAGAUGGAUGCAUAUAAAUUGACAUAAUUUUUAUAAUAAUUAAGUUUGGAACUAGUAAGCAGAAAGCUGAUUGGUUAAUAUUUGUCAAUGGGAAAUAUACACUAGAAAAGGUGAGGCAAAGGGAAGCAAAACAGCACCUUACUCUUUGCCAACAAAUAUCUUCCACCUUCGUUCACUUAUCUUCACAAUAUACACUGAAUAGAACAUUCUCUUUCUCAUCCUUUGCCUUACUCAUGCUGUUCCCUCACAUCUUCUCUCCUUCCUUUCCCUAGAGAAAUCCAAACUAUUCUUCCAAAAAAGGUGCUCACUGUACAGCGAUGCAGGUUGUUCACUGCACAAGGGAACCUGGCUUCAGUGACAAAUGAGGUCUAAAAUCUAGUAUCAACUCCUCAUGGGCAGUCCCUAUGGAGAGAGGGACUGUAGGAGCCUGAAGGAGAAGGCAAAAGGGUGUUUGUUCCUCAUUUGCACAAAGGUGCUAAGUAAGACAGUGGGGCUCUGUAUGGAGGGCUUGAUUAAGUACCAACCUCUCUUUGAAAAUAUCUCAACAAACUAGAAGUUCCCAUCAUGGCUCAGUGGUUAACAAACCUGACUAGUAACCGUGAAGUUGCAGGUUCAAUCCCUGGCCUCACUCAGUGGGUUAAAGAUCCUGAGUUGCUGUGGCUGUGGUAUAGGUUGGCGGCUACGGUUCCAAUUAGACCCCUAGCCUGGAAACCUCCAUAUGCCGUGGGUGUGGCCCUAAAAAAGACCUCCCCCGCCAAAAAAAAUCUAGUUCUCUCUCUUUUUUGAACUUGAAGUCAGUACCAAAGUUUUGCCUAUAUUCUCUUAAUUUUCAAUGCACCAUUUUUACCCCUUCAGCUAAACCAGACACUUCUGAAGGAUAGACACCAUGUCUUCCAUGCUUUUAUUUCUUGGAAACCCAGUCCAAGCAGACAGUAUACAUGAGAUGCUUAACAAAUAUUGGUUAAUCAAGUGACUGAAAACUAAGAAUACCACAAGCAACAGUAACAGAGAGUGUUAUUUGUCUUUGAAGGAUAAAAUCCCUUCCUCUUUGCUCACUAUUUUAAAUUUGCCAGGAAAAAAAAAAAGCAAAUAACUUUUUUAGUGUUGGUUUUAUGUUCUGAAGAGACUGAUAUUCUGGAACCUAAGUUGUAAUUUUCACAUUCAUCAUGGUUUUUAGUGUUGUCACAUUAAACAUUUCAGCUGUUGUUAUUGAACCUGAAUCGGCUUUAGACAGAAGCUGAGUAUGGAUUCCAAGCUCAUAGCUGUCCUAAAAGGCUACAUUCAGCUAUGGUUUCAUAACCAUAAAAUUACACAAGAAGGAGAGAAACCAAGCACUUUGACACUGAAUUCAAAACAAUUCAAACCUCUGUAAGCCUUUUCAAACAACUGUCAAGGGAAGCUGGGUUUUCAAACAUAUUAUAAAGGCUUCUUUUAAAGGAAUGGUUAUUAUUUAUUUUGGAUGCUUUCAUAAUUAUUAGAAAAUAGAAGGAUUUGCUGCCAAAAGCAAAGAAAAAAAAGGGACAUAAAGAAAGAAGGUUAGAAGAGGCAGGAUAAAGUAAUUAAGGAAAAUUAGAGAUAAUACCAACUAGAGAAAAUAAAAUGAAUAUAUUUUUAAAGGCAUAAGAAAAAAUGAUUUAAAAAAACUGAACACAGUGUUCUCGUCGUGGCUCAGCGGAAAUGAAUCUGACUAGUAUUCAUGAGGAUGUAGGUUCAAUCCCUGGCCUCGCUCAGUAGGUUAAGGAUCCAUCGUUGCUGUGGCUACAGCUCCAAUUUGACCCCUAGCCUGGGAACUUCUAUAUGCCGCAAGUGCAGCCCUAAAAGGACCUAAAUAAAUAAAUAAAUAACUGAACACAGUGACAAGUAGGAACUUCUUUUCUAUAGGUUAACAAGAAUCACUCUACCCUGCAUACUUGCAGAAGUUACAUGAAAGAGAAUGGGAAACAGCCUCCCCAAUGUUUUUUUAACCGAGGUCUUAACUUUUUUUUUUUUUUUUUUUGGUCUUUUUGCCUUUUCUAGGGCCUCUUCCCACAGCAUAUGGAGGUUCCCAGGCUAGGGGUCUAAUCGGCCUACGCCAGAGCCACAGCAUCACGGGAUCCGAGCCACGUCUGCGACCUACACCACAGCUCACAGCAAUGACAGAUCCUUAACCCACUGAGCAAGGCCAGGGAUCGAACCCGAAACCUCAUGGUUCCUAGUCAAAUUCGUUAACCACUGCACCA
RNAcentral lists this long non-coding RNA (5252 nucleotides) under Sus scrofa (pig). Its description in RNAcentral is "lncRNA (ENSSSCG00055024170.1)". Lineage: Eukaryota; Metazoa; Chordata; Mammalia; Artiodactyla; Suidae. The record is from RNAcentral.